AUGGGGUGGAGCCACGGAAGUUCGCGCCAUUUGCAGAGGGGAGGAGCCCAGCCUCUUGCGUUCCUGUGUGAUGGGGCCGGAGCCAGUAAACAGGCUUCCUUCUCGCUCUGCUGUAUAAGAAGAAGAAGUAGGAGAAACAAAAUAAGGAGGAGAAGAAGUAAAAUAAUUUGAGAAGGAAUAUGAAGGGGCUGAAAUCCUGGGCUUUCUGGGCAGAAGGAUCUACGAGCGGGAUCGUGGGUGAAACAUGAAGAUGAUGGUGGACAGGUGAGCUACGCAGUUCGUGGAAGAACCAGGGGUCACAUGGCCUAGAUGCUACCCUAGAUGAGAAAGAGUCCAAUGGUUAUCAACAAGUUCUGAAAGGCAAGGCCUAAGGUCCCAUGUGGACAAGCCAGUAAGAGUUUUCAACUUGGGUGCCAGCAGUAACCGGUUAUACAAAGGAAACUCAACAUUCCUCUUCCCCAAAGUAAACCUAUUGCAAAAACCCCUUCCAUCUAAUAAUAGCAACUCAAGUUCCAGAACAACAAAGAACAGCUGAUCGACUAAUCCAGAGGCCAAACUUCUAACCUCAAAAUGGUAGGUCUUCAACUUCUGAGGUAAUGCAUCCUGCCCUAGCACUGACUUUUAACAAUCAAGAAAAAUCAUCAGUUCUUCUCUCGGCAAGUUCUGUGUUCUAUAUACAAGUCUAAGCUCUUCUACAAUGAAUGGAACUGCUUUUCAUGCUUUUCAUUGCAAUAAGUAGCAGGGGCAGAGGAAAUAAUGAGUACUUCCUCAAAAACUUGUCUCUGCUGUUUGUGUGGGGAUUGUGGACAUUUUUCGCUAUCCACUAUUCUGGAAGUUGAGUGUCAGACAUGAAAAGUUCAAGCUUUUGUGAAAAUAAUCUGCCCUUCCCUGAGAAAUCAAUGCAUCAUAAUGCUUUCAAUCAGCAGUAAUGAGCCAGUGUGUCUCUUUCUCCUUGGAGCCUUCCUUGUGUUAUUAAAAAAGUAGUUUGAUAAAAAUAAAAAUGAAGGCUUAACAAUAGAACAUGAAAUUAAAAUUAAAUGGAUUUUUAGAGUCCCCCAAAAAACACCAAAAUAAUAAUAAUAAUAAUAGGCCACAAGUAAUGCCUUCAUGGUUUAGAAGAAGGUCUCUCAAAGG
Molecule: long non-coding RNA, 1134 nt
Filed under: Homo sapiens (human)
Lineage: Eukaryota; Metazoa; Chordata; Mammalia; Primates; Hominidae
Description: HSALNT0378294
Source: RNAcentral